Small nucleolar RNA from Elgaria multicarinata webbii, 93 nucleotides. RefSeq annotates it as small nucleolar RNA SNORD35. NCBI's taxonomy places the organism in Eukaryota, Metazoa, Chordata, Lepidosauria, Squamata, Anguidae. The record is from RefSeq and is a predicted model, not a curated record. The transcript has a single exon.
CGCACGUGAUGUUUUCCUCACGACGGUCUGCCGAGCCUCACAGUGAAUGGGGUUCUGACGAAACUGCCGUGUGGCCUAAACUGAUCCCUUUUG